AGUCUGAACUGUUUGUUGUCUGAAGGUCAAAGAUGAGAAUGAAGAUAAAGUGACGUAUGAGACGAUCAACAUGUCGACUCCUGCUGCUGCGAGAGACAAUGAGCAGACAGAUGAUGUGACUUACUCUGAAGUCUCUUCUUCCAGUAAAAAGCCAGUCAAAUCAGUCAAAGAUCAAGAUGAUUCAGUGACUUACGCUGCCAUCAGAGGAACACAAAAUGAGCCGCUGGGUCAACUUUACGCCUCUGUGAACUAGAACAAAUAAAGAUUCAUGAGACAGAUCAGUGCAUGAGCUCUUCACAUCAGCAGCAGAUUGAUGAGAUUCAUCAUAUAUGUGGAAGAGUUAUAUGAAACUUAUCUUAGAAAUUUCAACCAAAUCUAGAAGAAAACUACUCUUUCUUUCAGCAUGUAUAGACCGUUUCUUGUAGACAUUAGUGAGAGAUUACAUCAGUGUCUGUGUAAAUUAUAUUCUAUAUGUCAAACAAUUAAAUAGCAGUUAUUUCUUUUUUCCACGUGUGACCAUAAAGAGUCAUGAGUUCAGACAAGUGUCUUCUGUUCCAGUCAGAAAGAUGAUGUUUGUUGACUGUAUUAUGAGAUGAGGAUGAUUGAAAUGAUGUUUGAUUAUGUCACGUUCACAUUCUCCCGUCGAAACACCACAACAACCAGAAAUCAGAAUUUAUAUUUUCAUCAGUCCCUGUUCUCUUGGUUUCGUGUCUCUCCUCACUGGAUGUGGUUGUGUUUUGUCUUCAUUAGUCUACAUGUUAGUUUAAAUCUUCAUUUGUGUGUGUUUUUCUCAUGAUAUUGUGUCCAGAUAAAUAAAAAAGCCCCAU
Long non-coding RNA from Carassius auratus (goldfish), 827 nucleotides. RefSeq lists it as uncharacterized. The transcript has 3 exons. The record is from RefSeq and is a predicted model, not a curated record. NCBI's taxonomy places the organism in Eukaryota, Metazoa, Chordata, Actinopteri, Cypriniformes, Cyprinidae.